UGUUGUAUCAUAGUGAACCUGAAAUCCACUGAUACUAUUGGGAACAACCAAUAUGAGAGUAGUAAAGAAAUGAUGCUUGAGCUCAAGAAAAAUUUCUUCACAUUUUAGGCUCCAAAGAAAUUUAGAAACUAUCGAAAAGGUUGUUAUCAUUCGUAGGAACUUGGCCACCACCUAGACUCACUGGAAAAGUUAUGUAGAUAACUAU
Molecule: long non-coding RNA, 205 nt
Filed under: Carica papaya (papaya)
Lineage: Eukaryota; Viridiplantae; Streptophyta; Magnoliopsida; Brassicales; Caricaceae
Description: long non-coding RNA (CPAP_LNC005865)
Source: RNAcentral